CAGCAGCAGCCGCGGGAAAACGGAGGGUGCAAGCGUUAAUCGGAAUUACUGGGCGUAAAGCGCACGCAGGCGGUUUGUUAAGUCAGAUGUGAAAUCCCCGGGCUCAACCUAGGAACUGCAUUUGAAACUGGCAAGCUAGAGUCUCGUAGAGGGGGGUAGAAUUCCAGGUGUAGCGGUGAAAUGCGUAGAGAUCUGGAGGAAUACCGGUGGCGAAGGCGGCCCCCUGGACGAAGACUGACGCUCAGGUGCGAAAGCGUGGGGAGCAAACAGGAUUAGAGACCCGUGUAGUCCCUGUCUCUUAUAC
This 304-nucleotide ribosomal RNA is filed under the name uncultured bacterium. RNAcentral's name for it is "partial 16S ribosomal RNA". It matches the Rfam family "Bacterial small subunit ribosomal RNA", at positions 506 to 807 of the family's 1533-position model. The record is from RNAcentral.